UUUUAAACUUGUUAAAUGACACCUUCAUGUCACAACUUGUACAAGCACCAGCUAGAAUGGACGCUUGUCUGGACCUGGUUUUAACAAACAACGUUGAUCUUUUGACCAACAUUCAAGUAGGUGAGCACUUGGGAAAUAGUGAUCACAAUAUAGUGUCCUUUGAAAUAAACUCAAAAAAACAGAAGCACAUGGGGUAUACUAAAACAUAUAAUUUUAAAAAGGCCAAUUUCAAUAAGUUAAG
Molecule: non-coding RNA, 241 nt
Organism: Pelobates cultripes (western spadefoot toad)
Lineage: Eukaryota; Metazoa; Chordata; Amphibia; Anura; Pelobatidae
Source: the annotation of a GenBank genome assembly